UGAAUACACCAAGACAAUAUCGAGCCAUAGUUGGCCACGCGAGGAAUACCUGAUCCAUGAAAUAAUACCUUUGAUUUGUGAAGAUCCAGAACGCGCGACGAAAGUAGAAAAUAUAACCGGAUACACAUGCACGGACUUUCUUCUGUUUGCUCUACCCGAAGAAUCCGUGAAACCUUUUCGGGACAACUUCGUGAAGCUGGACGUGUACUUUGAAGAUCUGAACUAUGAACAUAUCGAGGAG
Mizuhopecten yessoensis (Yesso scallop) is the source of this 241-nucleotide long non-coding RNA. RefSeq lists it as uncharacterized. The transcript is spliced from 3 exons. NCBI's taxonomy places the organism in Eukaryota, Metazoa, Mollusca, Bivalvia, Pectinida, Pectinidae. The record is from RefSeq and is a predicted model, not a curated record.